AGUCACUGACAUUAGAUACCCCCUGUAGUCCAGGGUGUAAACGCUGCAGACUUGGUGUUGGAAGUCCUUUGGGGGCAUUCAGUGCCGGAGAGAAGUUGUUAAGUCUGCUACUUGGGGAGUACGUCCGCAAGGAUGAAACUUAAAGGAAUUGGCGGGGGAGCACCGCGACGGGAGGAGCGUGCGGUUUAAUUGGAUUCAACACCGUAAAACUCACCAGGGAAGACUGUUACAUGAAAGCCGAGAUGGAGACUCUGCUAGAUUUUCAG
This 266-nucleotide ribosomal RNA is filed under the name uncultured archaeon. RNAcentral's name for it is "partial 16S ribosomal RNA". It matches the Rfam family "Archaeal small subunit ribosomal RNA", at positions 718 to 982 of the family's 1478-position model. The record is from RNAcentral.